UGUUACCCAUAAACCUUUAGUUUUGUAAGAGAGAUAAAAAAUGGAUCAGACUCUUGGGCUUAACAAGUUUUGGUGUCCUUCACUUUUCUCACAUAAAUUCAUCUAAAGAUAAGCGAAGAAGCGAGCUCGGUUUACUUUUCUUUCUUGGUUUAAUCUUCGGUUCACUUCUAAAUGUUGGUUUUAUUUCGAACAGGGAAACAAUUGGUUUGAUUAAAAACUAGAUUUGGGUUUUAAAUUUUACACAAACACAACCAUGAUUACAAUUCGAACCAAAAUCAAUUUAAAAACAAUAAAAGAAAAU
This 301-nucleotide long non-coding RNA is filed under the name Brassica napus (rape). RNAcentral describes it as "long non-coding RNA (BNAP_LNC019125)". Lineage: Eukaryota; Viridiplantae; Streptophyta; Magnoliopsida; Brassicales; Brassicaceae. The record is from RNAcentral.